This is a non-coding RNA of Phascolarctos cinereus (koala), 994 nucleotides long. Lineage: Eukaryota; Metazoa; Chordata; Mammalia; Diprotodontia; Phascolarctidae. The record is from RefSeq and is a predicted model, not a curated record.
ACUAGUGUUCUCUAAGUCUGUGUCUACUUUUCCUAUUGACAGUGUAUAUACUUGUGGGAGAGUGCACCUGAGCUUUAUGGAAGGGUGGGUGAUAUUUUGCAGCUAUGGUUUUUACUGUAUCAUCUUUGUUUUAAGCUAAUUAUGUCUACUGACUGAUUUUUAAAGGAGAAGGCUCUUUGGACUGGAAAGGACAGAACAAAGCUGGUGAGAAAGGAGUUGAUGCCAGAAGUAUGUAGAAGGUAAAAGGGGGUCUUGAGGAGAGGCUGCAUGAUGGAGCACUGGGCGCAGAGCAGGAAAAUCUGGCCCCCAAGAGGAGAAGUGAGACAUAGCGAGAAGGAGAGUGUGACAAGAAUGCAGACUAUUUGUAGAAGAAUAAACCUGGAAAAGCAGGCUGGAGCCAGACUGCGAAGGGCUAGAAAUGCCAAACCGGAAAGGAGCAUCCAGGGUGGUGCUGUUCAGUCAUGUCCCACUCUUCAUGACCCCACGGACCACAGCAUGCCUGGCUCUGCUAUCUGCCACUAUCACUUGAAGUCUUGGACUUCACUUGGACAGUUCAUGUUUGUUGGUUUCCUGACACUAUCUAGAUGUCUCAUGAUUUGAGCCACAGGCAGCUCCAGGUCUCAUUUUAACUGACUGUAUAGAGCUUCUCCACCUUUGGCUACAAAGUCUAUCAUUGAUCUGAUUUCAAUAUUGACCAUCUGGUGAUGUCCAUCUGGAGAGUCAACUUUUGGGUUGUUGAAAAAGAAUGUUUGUUAUGACCAGCGAGUUAUCUUGACCAAACUCUAUUAAUCUCUGCCCUGCUUCAUUUUGUAUUCCAAGGCCAAACUUGCUUGUUAUUCCAAUUCUCUUUUGCUUUUCUACUUCAGCAUUCCAAUCCCAUAUGCAUAUGCCAUCUUUUUGGGGGAUGUUAUUUCUAGAAAAUGUUGUAGGUCUUCAUGGAACUGAUCAAUUUUUGUCCCUUCAGCAGCAGUGAUUAAAGCAUAGACUUGUAUUA